Long non-coding RNA from Polypterus senegalus (gray bichir), 2764 nucleotides. RefSeq lists it as uncharacterized. Lineage: Eukaryota; Metazoa; Chordata; Cladistia; Polypteriformes; Polypteridae. The record is from RefSeq and is a predicted model, not a curated record. The transcript has 3 exons.
CCAGAGGACCUGGAGGAAACCCACGCAGGAAGGACCUGAUAACACAACAGGAUCUACUAAAUGUUAUGAUAAAGUACCAAAGUAUUUGUGUGUUACUUGAAAAAAAAAACUAUAUUUUGGUAUUCAAGACUAUCAGAAGCAUGAUGAUUCUCAUUCUCUCAGAUAGUAAAGUCAUCCACAAUGGAGAUUCUCCCUCACUGUACAAUCUAAAGGCGCCUUCUGAAAAUACACAUUAAGAAACCGCCAUCCUAGAAAAAGCAGAGGGACACCACAUCUGGAGUAAACGCUGUCGUCGACACACAUCUGCACAUGACACUCUAAAAAGCACGUUCAUCUUCACAUAAGAAGCACAAAGUUGGGGUGGGUAGAAGGAGGAAUAAAUCAAAUAUAGCCUACACCAGACCUGAAGGUCUUAGCAGCACCAGCUUACUGGCUCACUUGGUGUACAUGCAGCCUACUCUGUUUGUGGUGGCAGAUGUCAACUCAAAGAAAGACAAACUCUAAAAAGACUGGAGUGCAUCCCACCCAGGGGCUUCUCAAGUGUUGGUAAAUAUGGCUUAUGAUGAGUUGAGAUACUUGGGCCUAACAUCUUUAAAUAUGAUGCCCUGCACUCGACUCUGACAGGAUAAGCCCUGGCGCUCUGCCCCUCUCAAAUGUAAUCAAAGUCAACGUCCACUAUAUUUUGUAACUUCAAGGGUGAGCUUGACUAGAUGACACUUUUACGUAGCUGUAAUGGAGCCAUCUUCCAAACCUACUUAUCCAGGGCAGGGUCACUGGUCACAGGGAGUUGGUGCCCAUCUUGGCAAGCAUUGGGCACAGGGCAGGGGCAUCACCGGGACAGGGUACCAACCUUUCUCAGGAUGAACACACACACACUGGGGCCAUAUCAGCAAUCCACUGAACAUGGCUUUGGGCUAUGAGAGGAAACCCAUACAGACACGGGUAGAACAUGCAACCACAACAUGGGGAAAAUCCAGGAUGUGAACCUGGGUCUCCUUACUGACAGACAGCAUUGCUACCACUGUGCUGCCAUUUAAGGUGCUUUCUGUUAAAAAGAAAACUCCACUGAAUUGACGGCUACAUCUGCUCUAUGGUUUCAGCAAGUUAAUGUGCCUUGGUGUCUCUCAAUUUAGGUGGCUAGUCAACAGCUCCAGUUAGACUUACCAGGGGGCUCACUGACCAAGAGUUCACUUUGGGCUGUUCCACUCCAACAUGUUCCUAUGCUGGAGGCUCCUCUACAGACCAACACACAACCACCACUGUGCCCUUAAGAAUACUCCGCUGAAGAUGUCCUAGUGUUUAGCAAGAAGAUAAAAAGUUAACAGGAAAUACAGAACAAGCCCUGGAAGCUCACAAAGUCAAAGGACUAGAGAAGCUCAGGUAGUUGAACAAGCUGCAGCCACGCAGGGCAGAGCUGGGCCUUCAAGAGACACAAGAUGGUAAGGAGUUCAGAUUGUCCACAGCCUCGAGGACAAAGACAUCUUAAAGACUGGAGGAGAGUGAAGGAACACACACACAUGGUGAGCUGUAGACCAGGACAGCCACUGUUGACAGGAACUUGAAGACAAAAGACAGAAAGGGAAAUAGUGGGGUGACAGUGAGCAACAAAAUAUUUGAGUAGCAGACACCCCAACGUUGGGUAGCAGUUGGGGGCCCAGCCUUGAAAUACUCAGUUAAACAUGAAGAUAGAAAGGAAGAUGUGAAGAAGCAGCAUCAGGAAUGUCCUGUUCAGUAGCUGACAUCAGCAACUACAGUACAUCUAUAGAGGGAGAGGCAAACAUCCAGGUUGAACCUGCUGGACGUUCAGAGGUUAAAGGCACCACAAGGAAAUAGUAGGAAGACAACGGGAGAGCUGGGCUCAGACCUGCGGUCUGAAAGAUGACAAUGAAUGGAAGAUCUUCAGACAAUCUGUAAAAAGGUGACAAAGGUGACAAGUCAGACUCAGUCCUGGAGCUUCCCUGUGGCUGCAAGUAUUUGUUCUCACCCGUUCAUAGAGCUGGUGUCUUCUCUUACAUCUUGCAUUCUAAAAAGCACAGCAGAGUUCGUUUUACAUUCAUAAGCCAUUUAGAAAUAUUUGUGCUUUUAUUACAGUUUUAAAUGCCCAUCUCCCUUUUAUGUUUCUUUUUAAUGUGCAUUUUUAGGUAGGUUCACAUAUAAAUACAACAAGCACCUCCUAUGAUAGCCAUGUCUGUCUGUCUGUCUGUCUGUCUGUCUCAAAGUGACAUGCGGCCCACUUAACUCUUGGAGAUUUGUUCAGUUUCCACUGAGAUAUCACAAUAAUUUGACAUUUCAAAAUCUCAUUGAAAAGCUCUGCUGAAUCGGUCAACUCCUCUACCUUCAAACAGAGAAACAAAUCUGUGGGACUUCAACUAUCAACCAAUUUACUGUUUAAAUUUGAUCUUGAGAGUGAAUGGUUUAUCGUUGUUUUUUUACUUGUUUGACAGAUACUGUGGACGGCCAAGCAGUUAUGUUUGAUAAGGCAGGCACACCUUGGGAUGGAGCAGGGCAGAUGUGCACAGUUUGGUCUGCCCGAGUGUGACCAUACAAGAAGUGCCAUGCCACAAGAUCAGUAUGUGGACCUGGUAUUCAUUUCCUUGAUUUACACAUGGUAGCCCUAAAGAAGAGUGGCAAAGGCUGCAUGGACUGGAAGUCACUAUCACAAGCUGUUUCAAAGCAUGCUGGCUGGUGGGCAGUCCUCUUUUGGCAAGUCCAGCUGGGUGUACGCAGAACACUGCAUGCAUCUCAUUCCUCCUUAUGUGUUAAG